Molecule: non-coding RNA, 135 nt
Organism: Triticum aestivum (bread wheat)
Lineage: Eukaryota; Viridiplantae; Streptophyta; Magnoliopsida; Poales; Poaceae
Source: Rfam
GAUAUACUCCCUCCGCUCCAGAAAUAUUUGUCAUCAAAAUGAAUAAAAGAAGAUGUAUCUAGACAUAUUUUAAUUCUAGAUACAUCUUUUUUAUCCAUUUUGAUGACAAGUAUUUUCCGACGGAGGGAGUAUGUA